Molecule: ribosomal RNA, 482 nt
Filed under: uncultured bacterium
Lineage: Bacteria
Description: bacterial SSU rRNA
Rfam family: Bacterial small subunit ribosomal RNA
Source: RNAcentral
CUACGUGCCAGCAGCCGCGGUAAUACGUAUGUCACAAGCGUUAUCCGGAUUUAUUGGGCGUAAAGCGCGUCUAGGUGGUUAUGUAAGUCUGAUGUGAAAAUGCAGGGCUCAACUCUGUAUUGCGUUGGAAACUGUAUGACUAGAGUACUGGAGAGGUAAGCGGAACUACAAGUGUAGAGGUGAAAUUCGUAGAUAUUUGUAGGAAUGCCGAUGGGGAAGCCAGCUUACUGGACAGAUACUGACGCUAAAGCGCGAAAGCGUGGGUAGCAAACAGGAUUAGAUACCCUGGUAGUCCACGCCGUAAACGAUGAUUACUAGGUGUUGGGGGUCGAACCUCAGCGCCCAAGCUAACGCGAUAAGUAAUCCGCCUGGGGAGUACGUACGCAAGUAUGAAACUCAAAGGAAUUGACGGGGACCCGCACAAGCGGUGGAGCAUGUGGUUUAAUUCGACGCAACGCGAGGAACCUUACCAGCGUUUGACA